Molecule: ribosomal RNA, 399 nt
Filed under: uncultured bacterium
Lineage: Bacteria
Description: bacterial SSU rRNA
Rfam family: Bacterial small subunit ribosomal RNA
Source: RNAcentral
UGGGGAAUAUUGGGCAAUGGGCGCAAGCCUGACCCAGCAACGCCGCGUGAGGGAAGAAGGUCUUCGGAUUGUAAACCUCUGUCCUUGGGGACGAAAAAAAUGACGGUACCCAAGGAGGAAGCUCCGGCUAACUACGUGCCAGCAGCCGCGGUAAUACGUAGGGAGCGAGCGUUGUCCGGAAUUACUGGGCGUAAAGGGUGCGUAGGCGGCCAGGCAAGUCAGAUGUGAAAUCCCCGGGCUUAACUCGGGGGGUGCAUUUGAAACUGCGUGGCUUGAGUGCAGGAGAGGAAAGCGGAAUUCCUAGUGUAGCGGUGAAAUGCGUAGAUAUUAGGAGGAACACCAGUGGCGAAGGCGGCUUUCUGGACUGUAACUGACGCUGAGGCACGAAAGCGUGGGGAG